UUUAUUUUGGACUUAAAUUUAGUGGGCAUGGGCCUAACUAUUUAAUAUUUUUGGGCUAACACAUAAUAUUUCGGUUUAAACCGAAAACCCGAAAACCCGAAUACUAAACCCCGAACACCGAACCGAAUCCCGAAAUUUUUGAAAAUUUAAACCGAACCCGAACCGAAAACCCGAAAAACCGAACACCGAAAAACCGAAUUAAUUCGGUUCGGUCCGGUUUUUCGGUUUUCGGUAAUUAUGCCCACCCCUACCGCUCAUCACGCAAGCCAUGAACCAGAAUGCAGGAAUGCCUAUACUAGACCAUUUCCACAAUACUAAAAUUUAGCAGAAUAUUGAAUCUCUUGCCUGGAAAGAAGGGAAGGGAUGCAAAGGGAAAUCUCCGUCUUUAGGGUAUAAAGUGACCCCAAUGGCCUUUUUGGCACACCAAGGAAAACAAGCAAGAGAAAGUGCAAGGACACAACUUGUGCAACCAUCACCAUGAAAAAAGGGAGCUCAUCUACACUUUUUUGCUCUUUAGUAUACUGUUUUUACUCUAUAUUUGCAAUGAGGACAAUGCAACUUUUUAAAUUGAGGGAGGCUUCAUUUUGAUGGA
This is a long non-coding RNA of Lycium barbarum (goji berry), 592 nucleotides long. RefSeq lists it as uncharacterized. NCBI's taxonomy places the organism in Eukaryota, Viridiplantae, Streptophyta, Magnoliopsida, Solanales, Solanaceae. The transcript has 2 exons. The record is from RefSeq and is a predicted model, not a curated record.